RNAcentral lists this long non-coding RNA (1100 nucleotides) under Mytilus galloprovincialis (Mediterranean mussel). Lineage: Eukaryota; Metazoa; Mollusca; Bivalvia; Mytilida; Mytilidae. The record is from RNAcentral.
UCAUACUUAUAUUUUUAUUUUUAUAAAUUUCAACAGUUUUUGACAUUUUCUUAUAUAUCAAAAUUACUACAAAACGCUUCUAUUCUCAUACAACUUAAGAUAAAAAUUUUACAACCAUUUUUCAACUUUCACACACUUCAAAAUACCUCCUGUUUACAUUACUGACUACAUAUACGCUACUGUAAACAAGUAUUUAUUUUCUGAUGAUAUGGGCUUACAAUAAUUCUUUCUUUGCAGCACAUAGUCCUCUAUUCAACUGUUUUUUUUAUCGUCUUUGAAAUCACUUCCAAACUCAGACUGUUUGGAAUACUUCUUUAAAAUUUUUAAUUUUAUCCUAUUCAAUUUUAAAAAUAAUUUUUAUGAUUUUUUUGGUAAACUUGUAAAAAUAUGUAAUUUUACUAUUUCAGUGAAAUAUGCACUAAUAAAUUAUGUCCAAACAAUUAACUUCUAAUGUAGGAAUUUGAAUUUGUUUACACAAUAAUAAAUUCAUAUACUGUACCCUAAAUAAAAGUAUUCCUUACUUUCUGAAAUUGAAUACAAAACUACACCAUAUUCAAAAGAAAUCCUAAAACUUAAAAAGUUAAAAUAAACUUUCAACCAGGAAGUAAGUUCCACACAAUCUGAGAAGUGGAUUCCACAAUGAUUAUUUUUAGACAUCUGUCCAUACUACAUGCUCAUGAUUUUAAAUAUUUUUCAAUAUUUUAAAAGUCUUGUACAUUUCUUAUUAAGCUAAGAAAAAAACAUUACUAAAACUAUAUGUGUACAUUAUCAGUCUCAUAAAUAUAAUAUAAUAUUUCUGUGGUUAUAUUUCUGACUAGAAUCAACCUAUGUUCAUAAGUUUUUAGUAUAAUGCAAGAAAAAUAAAUCAUUUAUAAAUGAUGUUUACCAACACUUUAGCCUAAAUUUAAAGUAUAAACUGUAUAUCCAAAAGAUAAAUCUACAAGAGCGUACUUUAUAAUAUUAAAGUUUUGAUUGUUGAACCGAUCUACCGGUAAUAAAUAUAUGAAAAUGGUUCAGUUUUGAGUAAUGUAGCUAUCUGUACAAUGAAUGCAGUUUCAAUUUCAAAAUAACUUUCUGAAAAUUAAAAUUUGAAGGUAUAA